CUUCGCACGGGUUAACCAAUUAUACCUAAAACUUCCUCAAGAAUCACUCUAUUAAUAAGUGAAAACCGCAUGAAAAUCCGUUCAGUAGUUUUUGAGUUUAUCGCGAACAUACAAACACACAAACAGACAGAUGCGACGGGGGACUUUGUUUUAUAAGGUGUACAGAAAAUUAGUUUUUCCCAUUUUCGAUGUAUAGCGUUAUGUUUAUUUUGGUUUGAAUAAAGAUCAUGAUUCGUUGUAAAGUAUGAGAAUUUUGUAAUGAAAUAAAUGUGACACUUUUUAUA
Cydia splendana is the source of this 284-nucleotide long non-coding RNA. RefSeq lists it as uncharacterized. The record is from RefSeq and is a predicted model, not a curated record. The transcript has 2 exons. NCBI's taxonomy places the organism in Eukaryota, Metazoa, Arthropoda, Insecta, Lepidoptera, Tortricidae.